This is a long non-coding RNA of Parasteatoda tepidariorum (common house spider), 455 nucleotides long. RefSeq lists it as uncharacterized. Lineage: Eukaryota; Metazoa; Arthropoda; Arachnida; Araneae; Theridiidae. The record is from RefSeq and is a predicted model, not a curated record.
UCAUGUUUCCUAAUAAGUUUUACCGGACAUAAUUGUGGUUUUGAUAAGAUUACUUGCGUCAGAAGUUAAUUAAUUGCAUUAUUUAUUUGAAGGGUGACGGUUCGGAGCAUAAAACAUCAAACAUUAGACAGAAAAAUAUGAAAAAUUUUAUUUUGAUUUUCUCGAUAAUUUUUCUUCUCAGCCAGAUUGUCAAAACUGAGAAUGAAAAUAUUAAUAAUGGAGAAUCCAUUUUCGACAAAAAUGGAGAAAUUACUGAGAUGACUACUGUGGAAAUCAUAGGAACUUUCGAAAAUAAUCAGGAAUCUUCUGAGAUGACAACAGAAGAAAUCAUUGGAACUUAUUAUGUAGAAUUUGGCGAAACUCGUUAAAUCUCCAACUAAAGCUAGUUCCAAUCAACAUAUUUUGUUUUUACAUUGUUUUCAUUAAGGAAAAUAAACAAAUUAAUGCUGUCUGAA